Molecule: non-coding RNA, 116 nt
Organism: Otolemur garnettii (small-eared galago)
Lineage: Eukaryota; Metazoa; Chordata; Mammalia; Primates; Galagidae
Source: Rfam
GUGCUCUGGUUUCUCUUCAGAUCAAAUAAAUCUUGUGCCUUUUACUAAAGAUUUCCAUGGAGAGGAAUGGUCACGAGUCUUAUUAUUUUUUGAGGCCUUGGUAUUCUUUUCUUUUC